This 495-nucleotide ribosomal RNA is filed under the name uncultured bacterium. Its description in RNAcentral is "partial 16S ribosomal RNA". It matches the Rfam family "Bacterial small subunit ribosomal RNA", at positions 28 to 507 of the family's 1533-position model. The record is from RNAcentral.
GACGAACGCUGGCGGCGUGCCUAAUACAUGCAAGUAGAACGCUGAAGGAGGAGCUUGCUUCUCUGGAUGAGUUGCGAACGGGUGAGUAAGGCGUAGGUAACCUGCCUGGUAUCGGGGGAGAACUAUUGGAAACGAUAGCUAAUACCGCAUAAGAGUAGAUGUUGCAUGACAUUUGCGUAAAAGGUGCACUUGCAUCACUACCAUGUGGACCUGCGUUGUAUUAGCUAGUUGGUGGGGUAACGGCUUACCAAGGCGACGAUACAUAUCCGACCUGAGAGGGUGAUCGGCCAACCCGGGACCGAGACCACGGUCCGACCCCCACCGGAGGCAGCCGUAGGGAAUCUUUGGAAAUGGACGGCAGUCUGACCGCGCACCGCCGCGUGAGUGAAGAAGGUUUUCGGAUCGUAAAGGUCCGUUGUUAGAGAAGAACGAGCGUGAGAGUGGAACGCUCACACUGUGACGGUACCUAACGAGAAAGCGACGGCUAACUACGUG